GAAAUGCGAUAAGUAAUGUGAAUUGCAGAAUUCAGUGAAUCAUCGAAUCUUUGAACGCACAUUGCGCCCCCCAGUAUUCUGGCGGGCAUGCCUGUCCGAGCGUCAUUUCAACCAUCAAGCCCCCGGGCUUGUGUUGGGGACCUGCGGCUGCCCGCAGGCCCUGAAAACCAGUGGCGGGCUCGCUGUCACACCGAGCGUAGUAGCAAUCACCUCGCUCAGGGCGUGCUGCGGGUUCCGGCCGUUAAACAGCCUUACAAAACCCAAGGUUGACCUCGGAUCAGGUAGGAAGACCCGCUGAACUUAAGC
RNAcentral lists this unclassified non-coding RNA (306 nucleotides) under plant metagenome. Its description in RNAcentral is "partial contains 5.8S ribosomal RNA, internal transcribed spacer 2, and large subunit ribosomal RNA". The stretch from base 1 to 105 matches the Rfam family "5.8S ribosomal RNA", at positions 50 to 154 of the family's 154-position model. The record is from RNAcentral.